RNAcentral lists this long non-coding RNA (1138 nucleotides) under Brassica napus (rape). RNAcentral's name for it is "long non-coding RNA (BNAP_LNC017193)". Lineage: Eukaryota; Viridiplantae; Streptophyta; Magnoliopsida; Brassicales; Brassicaceae. The record is from RNAcentral.
AUCUUGUUGAGCCUGAAUAUAGAGAGGAAAUCCUCAGCAUUGAAGGAGCGUGAAAUUGUAUGAAACUCCACAGUCCGCCAACCAAAUCAGAAGCUAAAAAGCCAAGAUUGGUUUUUAUGAAAUCAUCUCCUAAUUUUCUGUAGCUUAUUCCUGAAAUAUUAGUUAAGAAAACAAACAUACAGAUAUAUAUUGCAAUGAACACAAAAGGAGUAGAUUUACGACCUCAUACUGAGGUAAAUGGACCUCAUACUGAGGUAACAGGACCUCAAACUAAGGUAAGGGAAGGCUAAACCAAAGCCUAAAAGCCUCAUACUGAGGUAAUGGAGGAGAUUGGGACCUUGAAUUUAGUUCAGUGAGACUUGAAGUGCAACAGAACCCAACCAAUUCUGACUCUAUCAAAGGGGUCACAAAGACCGUAUCUUUCAAAACAAAUCCUAAGAGCAAAGGAGGGAAACUAGACUUUCUCCAGAGGAUAUAGUAGAACUGAACCCUGCAGACAGCAGUAUGGGGGAGCCAAGGCAUCACAAAGUUCACUCCUAAGGACACGAGCAACAAACAAGCUGAGCUAGAGGUCGUCGUACCAGAAACAGGAGGAGGCUCUGCAAUUUUGAGGGUGAAGGAGAACAGAUCUGGUGCACCAGAGUGGUCGGGAAGGACGGGAAGGUCCGGAGGAGCAAUCAUGGAUGCUAGAUCUAGAAGAAAAGUAACCGGCGGCGGCUCUGGAGGAGGAGGAAGGAGCAUAGGCGAACCGGAGAGACGUAGCACCAUGGAAGGAAAGAAGAGGAGAAAGAAAGGUAGGCGAACCGGAGAGACGUAGCACCAUGGAAGGAAAGAAGAGGAAGAAGAAAUAAAGAGGAGGAAGAAAGAAGAAGGUUCUCGUCGGUGAGCGAGAGGCCACACCGACGGCGGCGGAUCAAGUUAAAACCCUAAUCUGCCUCCAGAAGCUCUCCGUGAUGUUCAAAUCCAGAGUUUUAUGAUGAGACAAAUUCACUACAAAGAAACUAACCUGAAACACAUACAAAAUCACUCUUCCAUGUGAUCUUCAGUUCCAGAUUCUUCGACAUCAACAGAUAACGAAUACUCCUGGUCAUACCCCAAGUAAGAGUCGCUCAUGAAGUACAGUGUGUACAACUUUUCU